This 77-nucleotide transfer RNA is filed under the name Alphaproteobacteria bacterium. RNAcentral describes it as "tRNA-His". It matches the Rfam family "tRNA". From Rfam's summary of the family: Transfer RNA (tRNA) molecules are approximately 80 nucleotides in length. Their secondary structure includes four short double-helical elements and three loops (D, anti-codon, and T loops). The record is from RNAcentral. Lineage: Bacteria; Pseudomonadati; Pseudomonadota; Alphaproteobacteria.
GCGGCCGUAGCUCAGUUGGUUAGAGCGCCAGAUUGUGAUUCUGGAUGCCGCCGGUUCAAGUCCGGUCGGCCGCCCCA